Non-coding RNA from Actinomyces sp. oral taxon 180, 85 nucleotides. The record is from Rfam. NCBI's taxonomy places the organism in Bacteria, Bacillati, Actinomycetota, Actinomycetes, Actinomycetales, Actinomycetaceae.
GAAACGCGUCGUGACUGGCGAAUAGGUGGACCACCACCGGGGAGCGGCGCGUCGGCAUCGAUAGCCGCCCGCCUGGGCUAGAAGC